RNAcentral lists this ribosomal RNA (303 nucleotides) under Triticum aestivum (bread wheat). RNAcentral describes it as "partial small subunit ribosomal RNA". The record is from RNAcentral. Lineage: Eukaryota; Viridiplantae; Streptophyta; Magnoliopsida; Poales; Poaceae.
AUGCCGCCUAGUGGUCUUCCCCAGUCGUUGGCGACCUCUCCUUUGCAGCAAUGCCUCAUCCUCGAGAGGCGGUGCGGCAAGCACUUAUCAGCAGAACGCACCCCUGCAGAAGUGGCGGUUGACUUCACAACUAGUGGCAACGGGGUGGUCGGUGUUGUGCGUCUCUCCUCUGCUUGCAGCAAUGACAGAGGUUCCCCAUGGGUUGUAGUUGUGUGGGCAGCAGUAAGUGUUGGCCAGAUAGGAGGGGUUCAUUACUGGCAGCGGUGGCAUGGGAGUCUCUGCUUGUGUUGGCGAAGGAGGUGA